AGUAGCAAUACUCCAGUCGAGCGGCGAACGGGUGAGUAACGCGUGGAUGACCUGCCCUUCAGCGGGGAAUAACCCGGGGAAACUCGGGCUAAUACCGCAUACGACCGAGAGGUGAAAGGGGCCCGCAAGGGUCUCACUGAAGGAGGGGUCCGCGUCCGAUUAGCUAGUUGGUAGGGUAAUGGCCUACCAAGGCGACGAUCGGUAGCCGGCCUGAGAGGGUGAUCGGCCACACUGGAACUGAGACACGGUCCAGACUCCUACGGGAGGCAGCAGUGGGGAAUUUUGCGCAAUGGGCGGAAGCCUGACGCAGCAACGCCGCGUGGAGGAUGAAGGUCCUUGGAUUGUAAACUCCUGUCAGCGGGGAAAAAGCGACUCGACCUCAUACGUCGGGGAGUUGAUUGUACCCGCAGAGGAAGCCCCGGUUAACUCUGUGCCAGCAGCCGCGGUAAUACAGAGGGGGCAAGCGUUAUUCGGAAUUAUUGGGCGUAAAGGGCGCGUAGGCGGCCUUGCAAGUGACGGGUGAAAUCCCUCGGCUUAACCGAGGAACUGCCUGUCAGACUGCAUGGCUUGAGACCGGGAGAGGUGAGUGGAAUUCCCAGUGUAGCGGUGAAAUGCGUAGAUAUUGGGAGGAACACCAGUGGCGAAGGCGGCUCACUGGACCGGUACUGACGCUGAGGCGCGAAAGCGUGGGUAGCAAACAGGAUUAGAUACCCUGGUAGUCCACGCCGUAAACGAUGAGUGCUUGGUGUAGCGGGUAUCGACCCCUGCUGUGCCGAAGUCAACACAUUAAGCACU
Molecule: ribosomal RNA, 795 nt
Filed under: uncultured Bacillota bacterium
Lineage: Bacteria; Bacillati; Bacillota
Description: bacterial SSU rRNA
Rfam family: Bacterial small subunit ribosomal RNA
Source: RNAcentral